RNAcentral lists this long non-coding RNA (439 nucleotides) under Ananas comosus (pineapple). RNAcentral's name for it is "long non-coding RNA (ACOM_LNC003210)". Lineage: Eukaryota; Viridiplantae; Streptophyta; Magnoliopsida; Poales; Bromeliaceae. The record is from RNAcentral.
AUUCGCGACAAACCCAACCUCUCUCUCCAAUAGGCAAAACCACACACAAAUACAUAGAAUACAUGUAUCUUCAGAUUUCUCGAAAUUCGUUCGUCAAACCUAAAAUCCAUAAGUGCCAUUGGUUCCAGAAUAGUCGAACCAUUGAAAACGAGCUAUUGGAUCGCUAUAAACGAAGUUCGAUAAGCGCCAGAAGCGAUCUCUGCACCUUGGCCUCUUCGGAACCGGGUUAGUAUUCACUUUAAGUAAAAAGAAAAGAUCGCGUAAAAUCUCCAUUCUAACUCGUUUUCUCCCGAAACUUGACGAGUGUUUUUGUAAUUAAAUUACACACAAAAAUAUCGUCAAUAGAGAAUUUAGUUGCACUACCAAAAUUUCAAUCCUUACACCUGAUUAUACCUUUAUAUUCAAGAAUUAUAAAAUAGAAAUUGACACUUUCAACAAA